RNAcentral lists this ribosomal RNA (332 nucleotides) under uncultured bacterium. RNAcentral's name for it is "bacterial SSU rRNA". It matches the Rfam family "Bacterial small subunit ribosomal RNA", at positions 568 to 898 of the family's 1533-position model. The record is from RNAcentral.
UGUGUAGGCGGUUGCUUAAGUUUGGUGUGAAAUCUCCCGGCUCAACUGGGAGGGUGCGCCGAAUACUGAGUGACUUCGAGUGCGGGAGAGGAAAGUGGAAUUCCUGGUGUAGCGGUGAAAUGCGUAGAUAUCAGGAGGAACACCGGUGGUGUAGACGGCUUUCUGGACCGUAACUGACGCUGAGACACGAAAGCGUGGGUAGCAAACAGGAUUAGAUACCCUGGUAGUCCACGCCCUAAACGAUGCAUAUUUGGUGUGGGUCAUUCAGUUGAUCCGUGCCGGAGCUAACGCGUUAAAAUAUGCCGCCUGGGGAGUACAGUCGCAAGGCUGAA